ACGACUCUCGGCAACGGAUAUCUUGGCUCUCGCAUCGAUGAAGAACGUAGCGAAAUGCGAUACCUGGUGUGAAUUGCAGAAUCCCGCGAACCAUCGAGUCCUUGAACGCAAGUUGCGCCCGAGGCCACUCGGCCGAGGGCACGCCUGCCUGGGCGUCACGC
This 161-nucleotide ribosomal RNA is filed under the name Hordeum marinum subsp. marinum. RNAcentral's name for it is "5.8S ribosomal RNA". It matches the Rfam family "5.8S ribosomal RNA". Rfam says of the family: 5.8S ribosomal RNA (5.8S rRNA) is a component of the large subunit of the eukaryotic ribosome. It is transcribed by RNA polymerase I as part of the 45S precursor that also contains 18S and 28S rRNA. The record is from RNAcentral. Lineage: Eukaryota; Viridiplantae; Streptophyta; Magnoliopsida; Poales; Poaceae.